AUGGCCACGGUUAGCAUGAGCUUCACCCUGCAGCUGUGUGUGCUGUGCACCUGGGGUGCGCCCGUCACCCACGGUGCCGUGCAGCCGGGCAGGUGUGUGCGCCCGUCACCCACGGUGCCGUGCAGCCGGGCAGGUGGGUGCGCCCGUCACCCACGGUGCCGUGCAGCCGGGCAGGUGGGUGCGCCCGUCACCCACGGUGCCGUGCACCUGGGCAGGUGGGUGUGCCCGUCAUCCACGGUGCCGUGCACCUGGGCAGGCGUGUGUGCCCGUCACCCACGGUGCUGUGCACCUGGGCAGGUGGUGUGCACAUCACCCACGGUGCUGUCAGCUGGGCAGGUGGGUGUGCCCGUCACCCACGGUGCUGUGCAGCUGGGCAGGUGUGUGUGCCUGUCACCCACGGUGCUGUGCACCUGGGCAGGUGUGUGUGCCUGUCACCCAUGGUGCUAGAAGCAGGCAGAACAGUUUUUCUGCCCUAAAAACCUCUGCUGCUCCACCUGCACAUCCCUCUCCACAGCCCCGGGAACCCACUGCCCCCCUUCACCAUCCCAUUUUUCAGACGGUCACGGCAGUGGGAUCAUCAGCUGGGACUUCAAAGGAGGCUUCCGUGUGCAGCUCCUGUAAUAUGCACUUCCCAUGAAGUGGGGAAGUGGACAGUGAGAGAGAGACAGAGAGAAAGGUCUUCCUUUGCCGUUGGUUCACCCCACAAUGGCCACUGCGGCUGGUGCACCGCGCUGAUCUGAAGCCAGGAACCAGGUGCUUAUCCCAUGCGGGUGCAGGGCCCAAGCACUUGGGCCAUCCUCCACUGCACUCCUGGGCCACAGCAGAGAGCUGGACUGGAAGAGGAGCAACCAGGACAGAAUCAGGCACCCCGACAGGGACUAGAACCCGGGGUGCCAGCACCGCAGGCAGAGGAUUAGCCUAGUGAGCCACGGCACUGGCCCCCAUGAACUUUUAAAACAGUUUGCUAUUUCUUAGAGAGCCUGCGCAGACUGAGCCCUAUCUACUGUCUCACUCCCCACAAAACGCCCGCAGUGGAUGGAGGGGGCGUUGAAAGCUGGAAGCUGUGAACUCUACCUGACUUCUUAAGCCAUCACCACUACCUUCCAGGGUGCACAUUAGCAGGAAGCUGGAGUAGAGAGCCAGAGUGGGGACUCAAAUAGGGGACACGUUCCCCUAGCCAGUGUCUUAGCCAGAAGGCAGAAUGCCCUCCCACUCCCCACCCGGUGAGUGACUGUGCCGAGGUGUGGGCAGAGUACCCUGGGACUGCCAGCCAGAACAGCCAUGACUACCCCAAGGGCGCCCAGUGGGACAUGGCACCAGGGACAGGGGCUGUCUGCGAGGCUGAUGUCACAGCGGGAGGCAGCCACUGCCACGCCAGGCUGAGUGAUGGAGGGACAGGGGAAGAUACACACAGACCCUUCUUCCACCCUCUGGCCUCCUGUGGGGA
Molecule: long non-coding RNA, 1447 nt
Filed under: Oryctolagus cuniculus (rabbit)
Lineage: Eukaryota; Metazoa; Chordata; Mammalia; Lagomorpha; Leporidae
Description: lncRNA (ENSOCUG00000035727.1)
Source: RNAcentral